This 226-nucleotide ribosomal RNA is filed under the name uncultured bacterium. RNAcentral describes it as "partial 16S ribosomal RNA". It matches the Rfam family "Bacterial small subunit ribosomal RNA", at positions 28 to 253 of the family's 1533-position model. The record is from RNAcentral.
GACGAACGCUGGCGGCGUGCUUAACACAUGCAAGUCGAGCGGUAAGGCCCUUUCGGGGGUACGACGAGCGGCGAACGGGUGAGUAACACGUGGGUGACCUGCCCUCAGCUCUGGGAUAAGCCUGGGAAACGUGGGUCUAAUACUGGAUAUGACUCCACGGUGCAUGUCGUGGGGUGGAAAGCCUUGUGCGGCUGAGGAUGGGCCCGCGGCCUAUCAGCUUGUUGGG